UACAGAGGGUGCAAGCGUUAAUCGGAAUUACUGGGCGUAAAGAGCUCGUAGGCGGCUUGUCACGUCGAUUGUGAAAGCCCGAGGCUUAACCUCGGGUCUGCAGUCGAUACGGGCUAGCUAGAGUGUGGUAGGGGAGAUCGGAAUUCCUGGUGUAGCGGUGAAAUGCGCAGAUAUCAGGAGGAACACCGGUGGCGAAGGCGGAUCUCUGGGCCAUUACUGACGCUGAGGAGCGAAAGCGUGGGGAGCGAACAGG
RNAcentral lists this ribosomal RNA (253 nucleotides) under uncultured bacterium. RNAcentral's name for it is "partial 16S ribosomal RNA". It matches the Rfam family "Bacterial small subunit ribosomal RNA", at positions 524 to 776 of the family's 1533-position model. The record is from RNAcentral.